GUGCUCGCUUUGGCCGCACAUAUGCUAAAAUUAAGACGAUACAGAGAUUAGCAUGGCCCCUGCACAAAGAUGACACGCAAAUUCGUGAAGCGUUCCACAUUUCU
Molecule: small nuclear RNA, 104 nt
Organism: Eptesicus fuscus (big brown bat)
Lineage: Eukaryota; Metazoa; Chordata; Mammalia; Chiroptera; Vespertilionidae
Source: RefSeq, a predicted model, not a curated record